UGGGGAAUUUUGGACAAUGGGCGAAAGCCUGAUCCAGCAAUGCCGCGUGUGUGAAGAAGGCCUUCGGGUUGUAAAGCACUUUUGUCCGGAAAGAAAUCCUUGGNUCUAAUACAGUCGGGGGAUGACGGUACCGGAAGAAUAAGCACCGGCUAACUACGUGCCAGCAGCCGCGGUAAUACGUAGGGUGCAAGCGUUAAUCGGAAUUACUGGGCGUAAAGCGUCGCAGGCGGUUUGCUAAGACCGAUGUGAAAUCCCCGGGCUCAACCUGGGAACUGCAAUUGGUGACUGGCAGGCUAGAGUAUGGCAGAGGGGGGUAGAAUUCCACGUGUAGCAGUGAAAAUGCGUAGAGAUGUGGAGGAAUACCGAU
This 367-nucleotide ribosomal RNA is filed under the name uncultured bacterium. RNAcentral describes it as "partial 16S ribosomal RNA". It matches the Rfam family "Bacterial small subunit ribosomal RNA", at positions 355 to 713 of the family's 1533-position model. The record is from RNAcentral.